GACAGGGGAUGCAAUCGUUGUCCGGACUGAUUGGGCGUAAAGCGUCUGUAGGUGGCUUUUUAAGUCUGCCGUCAAAUCCCAGGGCUCAACCCUGGCCAGGCGGUGGAGACUACUAAGCUGGAGUACGGUAGGGGCAGAGGGAAUUUCCGGUGGAGCGGUGAAAUGCGUAGAUAUCGGAAAGAACACCAAGGGCGAAGGCAAUCUGCUGGGCCAAAACUGACACUGAGAGACGAGAGCGAGGGGAGCAAAGGGG
RNAcentral lists this ribosomal RNA (253 nucleotides) under uncultured bacterium. RNAcentral's name for it is "partial 16S ribosomal RNA". It matches the Rfam family "Bacterial small subunit ribosomal RNA", at positions 524 to 776 of the family's 1533-position model. The record is from RNAcentral.